Aegilops tauschii subsp. strangulata is the source of this 1275-nucleotide non-coding RNA. NCBI's taxonomy places the organism in Eukaryota, Viridiplantae, Streptophyta, Magnoliopsida, Poales, Poaceae. The record is from RefSeq and is a predicted model, not a curated record.
CUCGUGUGGAUUUUUUAUGUGCAUGCACGACAACCAUUCAUUUGUGCCUUUCAUCAUCAGAUCAAACGGCAAGUUUAUUGUCUGAUUAAUUAGAGGUUUCUAUUUUAGAAUGAAAUUUUCUGAAUUUUUGCUAUCCCGCUGGUCCUUACUAAUUCAGUAUAUACUAGAAUUUGAAGUUGUGAUCAUCCAUUGUUCUACUAUGGAGACUAGGAUAAAUGAUUGCAGUUGCAGGGCCGCCGCCGUUGCUGAACACAAACGGGGCUCGAAGCAGGCCAAUCUCCGAGGUGGACCGGGCAACGGAUCGUGGAGAGGCGCCCAAGGAUUUUUUUUUGCUUCUGUUGAUUGUGCCAUCCAAUUGGUUUAGACUUUUCACCAUUGCUAAUUACUAGGGGCGUAUGGGUGCCGGACCUGGUAAGUGGCCUGCACGCUACGCUCUUGCCAAAUAAUUUGCAACCAUGCUUGCACUGAAUUUUUAUUUAUUUCCCGAUGUACCUUACAACAACUUCAUGAUGUAGCACUACUUUGCACUAGCAUGCACCUGCAGAUAUAAUAUGGAAAAUGACUGUCAUUUAGAAUUACUUCCAAGCUGCAUCGUCUAUCUGAAUGUCAGCCCGAAACCACUGGUUGGCACACAUAAAAUUUUGGAAGUUAAUGCAUUUCCACAAUAGAGAUGGGAAAUGGAUACAUCGUUGUCGUCCUUCAGUGAGCAGCCGAGGAGGAGCUCCUCCAUGCUGAUGAUGUGGAAGACAGAUACCCUGUCCGCGACGCCUGGUUCUGGCCUCAUAUACAUUGACUUCCUAUGUCAUCAGCAAAUGCAGUGGAGAAGAAGCCGGAGUCUGGAAGUGAUACUUUUGUGAGGAGUGCUGGAACAUGACUGGAUCAAGCGAGACAGAGAACAAUGGAUGAAAGAAAGAGAUCAGAAAAGGGAUUCACUCCUGACCACCUCAUACAUAUAUACAUGUUGAAAAUAUUGUUGAUUUUGAUUUAAAAAUGGCUAAAUUGGAGGAAAGCAUUUCUGCUACAUUCAUCGGCAAUACUGCACCAUAUACUAUAGAAGCUUGGGCCACUAAAUCAGCUGUUUCUAAUGGAUCUUCUUGGACUCAACAGUAUCAAUCUACUUCCCAGGCAUGUGGUUUAUUUUAUUCUUCAGCUCAAUGGAAAACCAUGGCAAGUUCUGUUUUACCUUUAGGGUGUUGUCAAAAUGAUUUCAAUGAGACCAAUUAAGUGAAUAGCCUAUGGAAAAAUGAUGACCUGUUGUUAAAAUGAAAUAAAAAC